GUGGGGAAUCUUGCGCAAUGGGCGAAAGCCUGACGCAGCCAUGCCGCGUGGAUGAUGAAGGUCUUAGGAUUGUAAAAUCCUUUCACCGGUGAAGAUAAUGACUGUAGCCGGAGAAGAAGCCCCGGCUAACUUCGUGCCAGCAGCCGCGGUAAUACGAAGGGGGCUAGCGUUGCUCGGAUUUACGGGGCGUAAAGGGCGCGUAGGCGGACAUUUAAGUCAGGGGUGAAAUCCCGGGGCUCAACCUCGGAACUGCCUUUGAUACUGGGUGUCUUGAGUAUGAGAGAGGUGUGUGGAACUCCGAGUGUAGAGGUGAAAUUCGUAGAUAUUCGGAAGAACACCAGUGGCGAAGGCGACACACUGGCUCAUUACUGACGCUGAGGCGCGAAAGCGUGGGGAGCAAACAGGAUUAGAUACCCCGGUAGUCC
Molecule: ribosomal RNA, 425 nt
Filed under: uncultured bacterium
Lineage: Bacteria
Description: partial 16S ribosomal RNA
Rfam family: Bacterial small subunit ribosomal RNA
Source: RNAcentral